ACCUACAUUAUGGCCAGAAGUAGGAUGUGGACAGUGCAAGAAAUUCCCAGAUGUGUCACAAGGCAUAUUGACAUUGGAAGCAACUCCAAAUUUGGUAUUAGAAGCAAUGAAAACAACUCUCAUCAUCAUCGUCAUUAACAACCAUGGGCUCAACUCCCGCAAACAACCCUGCUUCUCCACAACAUUCCUACCAGAUAUAACCAGUACAGGCUUUUGUAUGAAAUGACUUUUCAGGAUGGAAUGAUGCCCAGCUCUUUGAUCACAACAACAGCUACCUACCUCCUCCUUCCUCCCAACAGAUGGUUGCCAUAGGGCAGAAAUGGAAGGUGCUGGGGAGUUGAUUGACCCUUCUCCAAACAGUUAGUAUUCAGGUUUAGUUUGUAACUAAGCAAGUGAAGUUCCGGGCCACAUUUAUGCAAACAUUAUAAACACCUGAAAACUGAAUAUUGAACAACUGAUCUCAAAUCCAUUAUGCCAGGAAACCUCAAGCUUGGCACACUACUUUUCUCUGCACAAGUGUAGUCUGGGACCUAACAAUAUUUUUUAUGGAGAAUAUUCAGUAUAGGUUUUCAAACAUUCAUAACCCCCUCUAGGAACAAAAAAAAUCACUUCUUUACAAUAUGGUUCUCUAGCUCCAGGACACACAGAUGUUGUGAAUCUGCUGAAGGCAUGGACUAUUUUUUAAAAAGUCCUGAGCUUCCAUAUUUGCUACUUCUUCUCUCUCUAUCUUGCUAAUAGCCUGACUAGCACUAAUACAGUUCAUUGUUUCCUCCAGAAGCUUCCUAUAACAAAAAUUCUUGCAUCAUGAAAACACACUGUGCAGCUUUUCCUGUUGUGAAUUCUCCCUUCACUCUCUUCCUUAUAUAUGAAUAUCUCCAACACAGGGUAUGUUUACAGUAUGGGACAAGGUCGAAUUAAGAUAUGCAACUUCAGCUUAACUCCACCUUUGGUGCUGUCUACACUGCAGAAA
Molecule: non-coding RNA, 970 nt
Organism: Pelodiscus sinensis (Chinese soft-shelled turtle)
Lineage: Eukaryota; Metazoa; Chordata; Testudines; Trionychidae
Source: RefSeq, a predicted model, not a curated record